AAUCAACGCUGGCGGCGUGCCUCAGACAUGCAAGUCGAACGCGAAAGUCCCCUUCGGGGGACGAAGUAGGAGUGGCGCACGGGUGAGUAACACGUAGGUAAUCUACCUUUGGAUGGGGAAUAACAACCGGAAACGGUUGCUAAUACCGCAUAAUGCAGCGGCACCUAAUGGUGACAGUUGUUAAAGCUGGGGAUCGCAAGACCUGGCGCUUGAAGAGGGGCCCGCGCCUGAUUAGCUAGNGGUGGGGUAACGGCUACCAAGGCGACGAUCAGUAUCCGGCCUGAGAGGGCGGACGGACACACUGGGACUGAGACACGGCCCAGACUCCUACGGGAGCAGCAGUGGGGAAUUGUUCGCAAUGGGCGCAAAGCCUGACGACGCAACGCCGCGUGGAGGACGAAGAUCUUCGGG
Molecule: ribosomal RNA, 411 nt
Filed under: uncultured bacterium
Lineage: Bacteria
Description: bacterial SSU rRNA
Rfam family: Bacterial small subunit ribosomal RNA
Source: RNAcentral